Ribosomal RNA from Chelonoidis abingdonii (Abingdon island giant tortoise), 112 nucleotides. NCBI's taxonomy places the organism in Eukaryota, Metazoa, Chordata, Testudines, Testudinidae. The record is from Ensembl.
AUCUACAGUCAUACCACCUUGAACACCAUAGAUUUUGUAUAAUCUCUGAAGCUAAACUGUGUGUGGUUAGUACUUGGAUAGGAGACCAGGCAGGGAAUGCCAGAAGCUGCUC